CUUCUGUUUCCUCUCUUCCCUCCCUCUACUGCUGUCUGAGAUUCACAUUCACACUACUGUGUGGCUGCUGCACUCAUUCCGGCUAGCAAGAUGGAAAAUGAGGUCUUUUUGUCCUUCGUGUUCUACAGUACUCUCCUGAUCCUGAAAAUGUACAUCUUGGCUAGAAUCACGGGCCAGAUCCGGCUGCAGAAUAAAGCAUCUUCUGGAUGAUGGGAUCUCCUACAAGAAUACUGAUUACCGACUGAAGACGCCGUCUGCCUCAGAGGAUACAGUUCUUCAGAGGUUCCAUAUCAUGAGAAACCAUCAUACAGUGGCAAUAAGAAAUGAAGGAUCUCUGGAAUGUACCACAGAUCACUUGGGAUACGCAUCUCAUGGGGAUCCAUCCGCUUGAUACUCCACAGAAAGCUUGGUCUGAGCAAGGUUUCUGCACACUGGUUGCCCCAUCAUCUGACUGGAGAGCAAAAGGAGGCUAAUGGAUAGGCCCAGGUCUCAGCACCAACGACGUUUCGACCCUAACUGGUUAGACCAGUGAGCCUGUUUAGGACAAUUCCAAAGACCCUGUUUUUCACCAGUUCCCUGGAGGUGGAUUAAGGCGGAGCACCCUCAUUAAACCAGAACAUGAUCGAUUUCUUCAUCCCUUUUCUGCCACUGGAGCGUCACCAUGUGGAAAUGUGCAGCAAGGAAGAGCUACGACGGGAUGGGCAGCAGGAGGAUAGAAAUAUAAUAGACAGAGUGGCAGAUAUGCUACAGUAUGACCCAAAGGAAUACAAAUUAUUUUCUGGCAUUGGCUGCAAGCAUGUUCCAUCGAGAGUGACCCUGGUACUCAAGCCCUGCCACCUGACUACUCCACCCGGCUGCCAGUCACAGAUUACACAUGAGCAUUGUCACUAGUCAGUUGCAGUAAUGUAAAGGUUACUCUAACACAGUUUCUGGGACAUUUUGGACAAGCGCUCCCAGGAGAGUGGACAACCUCCUGCAUCCUGCCCACUUCUCAGAUAAAGUGGGCGGGAGGCGCGAUGACAGAAUUAGCGAUGAAUUGAUUCAUUGUGGCCCCAAAUCCUGUAAUGUGAUGACGGGUAUCGUGAUGUCCCCCAGACUCUGGGCCUAAUUCAGACCUCAUCGCUGCAGCAAACUUUUUCUCUAAUGGGCAAAACCAUGUGCACUGCAGGGGGGGGCAGAUAUAACAUGUGCAGAGAGAGAUAGAUUUGGGUGGGGUGUGUUCAAACUGAAAUCUAAAUUGCAGUGUAAAAAUAAAGCAGCCACUAUUUUCCCUACACAGAAACAAUAUAACCCACCCAAAUCUAACUCUCUCUGGACAUGUAAUAUCUGCCCCUCUGCAGUGCGCAUGGUUUUUCCCAUUAGAGAAGGAUUUUGCUGCUGUUAUCAGCUCUGAAUUAGGCGGGUCAUUCCGAGUUGAUCGCUCGCUUGCUACUCUUAGCAGCCGUGCAAACGCAUAGUCGCCGCCCACGGGGGAGUGUAUUUUCGCUUUGCGCGUGUGUGCGAACACUUGUACAGCCGAGCAGGACAAAAAAGUUUUUUGCAGUUGUCAGUAGCUCUGGACUUACUCAGCCCUUGCGAUCACUUCAGUCUUUUUGGUCCCAGAAUUGACGUCAGACACCCGCCCUGCAAACGCUUGGACAUGCCUACGUUUUCCCAAACACUCCCUGAAAACAGUCAGUUGACACCCAUAAAUGCCCUCUUCCUGUCAAUCCCUUUGCGAUUGGCUGUACGAAUGGAUUCUUUGUUACAGCCAUCACCCAGCAAAGAUCCGCUUUGUACCCGUACGACGCGCGUGCGCAUUGCAGAGCAUACGCAUGCGCAGUAGUAACCUGUUCGCUGCGCUGCAAAAAACAGCAGAGAGCGAUCAAAUCUGAAUGACCCCCUAGGCCCUUUAUCCUGUCUGUUACUACCCAGUCCAUGUUUUACUGCUGUUUGGUCACAAUUGUAAAGCAUUACAGAUUAUGCCAGUGCUAUAUAAUUGAAUAUGGCCAUAUAUGUUUGCUGAGCUCUACCUUGAAGAAGGUUCUCCAGAAGGACCGAAACGUUGAUGAUGUGUGAAUAAAGUUACACUUAACCUGUUUAA
Molecule: long non-coding RNA, 2083 nt
Organism: Pseudophryne corroboree (corroboree frog)
Lineage: Eukaryota; Metazoa; Chordata; Amphibia; Anura; Myobatrachidae
Exons: 4
Source: RefSeq, a predicted model, not a curated record